RNAcentral lists this unclassified non-coding RNA (240 nucleotides) under soil metagenome. RNAcentral describes it as "partial contains 5.8S ribosomal RNA, internal transcribed spacer 2, and large subunit ribosomal RNA". The record is from RNAcentral.
AACCUUAUGGACCUGCGGGCGUAUACCUGCGGAAGGAUCAUUACCGAGUUUACAAACUCCCAACCCUUUGUGAACCUUACCAUAUUGUUGCUUCGGCGGGACCGCCCCGGCGCCUUCGGGCCCGGAACCAGGCGCCCGCCGGAGGCCCCAAACUCUUAUGUCUUUAGUGGUUUUCUCCUCUGAGUGACACAUAAACAAAUAAAUAAAAACUUUUAGCAACGGAUCUCAGAUCGGAAGAGC